GCCAGAGUGGCUAGAUUACUCCCUUAGGGUAAUGGAGAAAGGAAAAAGAAAUUGAAAAAGGUCAGGUGAACAAAGCAGAAGGAAUGAAGAGGUUUGUGUGAUUCUUAGUGAAAUUGGACCAGUCUAAGCAACCAGACAGUGCAGUUCAGGAAACCAGGCUGAAGAAUGUGAAAUACAUCGCCCAAAGUCAGACACGGAGGAACAACUGCUUCGGAGCUAGCAAUUUCCUGAGCUGGAAUUGCACCACUGGCCUGUAGAAUCCAAACUGUUUUCUACCAGAACAACUCCUUCCCUGCAGGAAGCAGGGUGUGCACAGCUGAACCCUGGUCUGAGAAGGUUGAAGUCACUGACUCAGCCCCAGCAAGGAAGUUGCCCUUCGACUUCUGACCUCUGGCCCUGUUUGAAAACCAACUCAAAUCGUUUUUCUUUUUCAGAAGCUGCUUGCCUCCGCUUCACCUUCCACCAUGAUUGUAAGUUUCCUGAGGCCUCCCAGUCAUGCUUGCCGUUAAAACUGUGGAACUUGCUGCUGAUGGAGGAUGCUGUCAAUCCAGAGUCUGACAGCUUCUUGCUCCUAUAAAAGUGACAACUUAAAAACUUUCUUUAAACAUAUCACUCUGACACCAAUGUGUAAGAUGAAGUGGACAGGAAUGGAACUGUACUGGGAGGCUCUGACAGUUCGGGUGAGAAGAAAUGAAGGGGCCAGCAAGAAGAGGUCCCAAUCUGGGAUAUGCUUUCCUCAUGUUAAAGGGAGAAAAAGAUAUAUUGCUAAUGGUAUGGACAGGAGGCAAGGAAAUACUGGGUAGGAGAGGGUGGUUCCCCAGCAAAGGCCCCACCCUCAAGCCUGGAAACCCAUGGCCCUAAAUGGGAACAGGCAUUCCUGUUUUUGCAUCCAAAUAUUUGGCCCACCACGCCCCCCUAUCCUGUACCCAUUUAAACCCCAAACCUCAGGUCCUGUAAGCAGAUGAGCAGAUGAACAGAAGAGCAGAAGAGCAGCACAGCCGAGAAGGAAUGAAUGGCACAGCAGAGAAGGAGAGAAGAGAAGGAGCAUCUGAACGUUGAGAGUUCAACUAGAAAUGGUCAGAGAGGAGACUGAUCAUGGGAUAGCCAAACUCCAGGAGAAGAUUAUGUUCCCACUCCAUCCCCUUUCCAGAUCCCCAAUCCAUCCCUCUGAGAGCCACCUCUACCACUCGAUAAAACCCCUGCAUUUACCAUC
RNAcentral lists this long non-coding RNA (1213 nucleotides) under Homo sapiens (human). Its description in RNAcentral is "long intergenic non-protein coding RNA 2198". Lineage: Eukaryota; Metazoa; Chordata; Mammalia; Primates; Hominidae. The record is from RNAcentral.